Molecule: long non-coding RNA, 2080 nt
Organism: Megalobrama amblycephala (Wuchang bream)
Lineage: Eukaryota; Metazoa; Chordata; Actinopteri; Cypriniformes; Xenocyprididae
Exons: 3
Source: RefSeq, a predicted model, not a curated record
GGCGUAACAGUUCAAAAAAGGAAACAGUGCUCAGAAUCUGUCAUUGAUAAAGUUUGAGCUGCUCGUGAGGAUCCGUGAUGUUUCUAUGCAAUGUCUGCUUGAUUCUUCUCUUUUCAGGUGAUGUACGUGGAGAAGGAAUUGCACCUCUCUCCUCAUCUGAACUUGUUAACAAUGGAGACUCCAUCACUUUGGCCUGCAAAUACAACGGGUCUUACAGCACUGAUUCUCUCCUGUGGUACCGUCAGUCCAGCAGCUCGAAACCAGAGUUUUUAUUUCUGGUUACUGAAGCCAAUCUUGAGCAGCCAGCUGACCCUCCAAUACCUGGACUGUCUGCUAAAAUAAAUGAGGAGAAAAACCGUGUGGAUCUGAAGAUCUCCUCUGCAUUGUUUAUAGACUCUGCAAUGUACUACUGUGCCCUGAAGCCCACAGUGACAGGAAACACAAAACCACUGUACAAAAUUAAGACUCAACAACUAAGCUAACUGAUGAACUACACUAAAUAGUAAAUCUGUGUCUUUAUUGUAUGAUGCUCUAAAAUAUAUAUUUGCGUAAUCCUGCAACCACAACAUGUACAUAACUGGAAAGCUAAGCAGAUCAAGGACAAGCAGUUUAAAAUUGUGUUUAAGUGAUUUGAGGUAAAAACAAAUAUAUAAUAUAUAAAUGCUGUGAAAGUUGCUGUGGCAGGCAUAUACAGUGUGAUUAAAUUGUUACCUGUCAGUGAUAGUGGCAAUACAGGUGCUUUUUCUCAUCUAUUACUUAAGUGAUAGACACUGUACUAAAGACAUUCAUGUGACUCAUAUAGGGUGGAGUUUUGUGUCUCUGAAUGGAUCUCACAAAAGUGCAGGUGCACCUAAAUGAUGAAACAGACAUCUUGAUUUUGGCAUCUAAUACAUCAACCAUUAUGUUUAUUUACACUCUUAUGGCUUUGUGGAUUCAUCUGGGUGAGACAGAGGCAAAUGCAAUCUUCCCACUAUCACCUAAAAAGAGUGCUGUUUUGGAUGGAAGUGUAAACAUAUCCUGUAGUUACAAAGGAUUCACUGGAAGUGUGCUAAAUGUGGAGUGGUACAGACAAUAUUCCGGAUCCAAACCAGAGUUCUUAAUCAGAAUAUAUCUACAUGGACCUUUGGGAAUGGCAGUUCCAAUUAUACCACACUUUGCAGGAAAAAUUUAUCAAGACGUCCAACAAGUGGAUCUAAAGUUGUCACACAUUCUUUGGGAAUAUGCAGCUGUGUACUACUGUGCCCUGGUGACCACAGUGACAGGAAACUAAGAGUUUCCUAUACAAACACUUUAGAUUUAAGGCAUUUAAAGUCACAAUUAAAAGAUUCUCUCUUUUGGAGAAUCUGUUGAUUUCAAAAUCUUACAUGACAUAAUUUGUGUAUUUCAAUAGUGCUCUUAAAGGUGCAGUAUGUAAUUUUUAUGAGGAUCUAUUGACAGAAAUGCAAUAUAAUAUACAUACAUACAUGGUGUAUGUGUGAAUAAAGACCUUACAUAAUGAACUUUUCAUUAUUUCAUAUUUAUUACCUUAGAAUGAGCCAUUUCUAUCUACAUACACUGCAGGUCCCCCUCAUGUAAAGUCAUCAUUUUGUGUGGGCAAGUUUCUACAGCAGCCCUAAAUGGACAAACACUCACUAUGUUUGUUGGUGUUUUGCAUCAUCACUAUGUUGAAUACACAUGAAUAAGAAGUAGUAGUAGUAGUCGUCUGGUUUAUUAGAAGCAGGGUCCGUUCUUUGUUAGAAGUAAGAAGAAACCUCAUUGCUUGACUGGCUACUCACAAUUCGCAAUUCGCAACCUCACCGCUAGAUACCACUAAAAUUUACAUACUGCACCUUUAAGUUUAGCAAACAAGUAAAUUCUGUGGUCAAAUCAAGCUCCCUGCACGAGCUUUGGCCAAUGUGAAGACAUUUCUGUCUUUUAUUCAUCUGACUCAUAGGGUGGAGUUUUGUGUCUCUGAAUGGAUCUCACAAAAGUGGAGGCGCACAUAUUAUAUGAUGAAACAGACAUCUUGAUUUUGGCAUCUAAUACAUCAACCAUUAUGUUUAUUUACAUACUUAUGACUUUAUGGAUUCAUCUGGGUGAG